RNAcentral lists this ribosomal RNA (1340 nucleotides) under Hymenoptera sp. 4 GYN-2021. RNAcentral describes it as "16S ribosomal RNA". Lineage: Eukaryota; Metazoa; Arthropoda; Insecta; Hymenoptera. The record is from RNAcentral.
AGGUAUAAAAUUAUUUUUUUUUUUAUUUGUUAUUUUUAUUUUAAUAAAAAUAUUUUUAAUUUAAAUUGUUAAAGUAUUGUUUAAAGAAUUAAUUAAUUUUUAUUAUAAUUUAUUAGUAUUGUGAAAGAAUUUUGAAAUAAAAUUAAAUAAAUUUAAUUAAAAGUAAAUUUAAUUUAUUGUACCUUGUGUAUCAGGGUUUAUUUAUUAAAAAAUAUUUAUAUAUUUUUCUCGAAUUUAAAAGAUUUAUUUAAAUAUUAAUUUUAAUGUGGGAAAAUUAUUUUAAAUAUUUAAAUAGAAAUGAAAUGUUAAUCGUUUUUAAAUUUAUCUAGUUUUUAAAUAAAUAAAUUUAAUUUAGAUAUUAGAUUUUAAAAUAAUAAUUUAUUUAUAUUUUUUUUUAAUAUUAAUAUUUUAAGGGAUAAGCUUUAAAAUAUAAUUUUAUAAUUAAUAAAAAAACAUAAAAAUUUUAUAGGCUUAGAAAUAGUUUUUAUUUAAAUUAUGUUAUAAUUUAUUUUUAUUUAAGGAAAAAUUUUAUUUAAUUUAAAUAUUUAUUUAAAUAAUUAUUAAAAUAAUUUUAAUAAUGUAAUAAUGAUAAAAUUAGUAAAUUUAAUUGUAAUUUUUUUAUUUGUUGAUAGGUAAAAUAAAGGAAUUCGGCAAAAAUUAAUUUUAUACUCGCCUGUUUAUCAAAAACAUGUCUUUUAGAAUUUAAUUUAAAGUCUAAUCUGCUCUAUGAAAUUAUUUUAAAUGGCCGCAGUAUAUUGACUGUGCAAAGGUAGCAUAAUAAUUAGUCUUUUAAUUGAAGGCUGGAAUGAAGGAUUGAACGAAGUAUAAACUGUCUCUAUUUUAUUAAAGGUUUAAUUUAAUUUUUAAGUUAAAAAGCUUAAAUUUUUUUAAAGGACGAGAAGACCCUAUAGAGUUUUAUAAUUUAAUUUAUUUUUAAUUUUAACUUUAUUAAAAAUAAAAAAAAUUAUUUUGUUGGGGUGAUAGGAAAAUUUAUUAAACUUUUUUAUUAUUUAUACAAAAAUUAUUGAAAAUUUUGAUCCUAAUUUUUAGAUUAAUAGAUUAAAUUACCUUAGGGAUAACAGCGUAAUUUUUUUUAGAGUUCUUAUCAAUAUUAAAGAUUGCGACCUCGAUGUUGGAUUAAAAUAAAUUUUAGGUGAAGAAGCUUAAAUUUUAGGUCUGUUCGACCUUUAGAAUUUUACAUGAUCUGAGUUCAAACCGGUGUAAGCCAGGUUGGUUUCUAUCCUUAAAAUUUUAAAAAUUUUUUAGUACGAAAGGACCAAAAAUUUAAAUUUAAAUUUAAUUAUAGAAGAAUUUUAUUAAUUUAUAAAUUUAAAAUUUAA